CAAAUGGAGAGUUUGAUCCUGGCUCAGGAUAAACGCUGGCGGCGUGCCUAAUACAUGCAAGUCGAACGAAGAUUUUAUUUUGAAACAAAGUGUUUACAUGGAGUAGAUGAUUAAAAUCUUAGUGGCGAACGGGUGAGUAACACAUGAGCAACCUGCCUAUAUGGACUGGGAUAACAUUUGGAAACGAAUGCUAAUACCGGAUAGGUAAUAGAAGGGCAUCCUUCUAUUAUUAAAGGUUAAAGACACAAAUAGAUGGGCUCAUGGUGUAUUAGCUAGUUGGUGAGGUAACUGCUCACCAAGGCGAUGAUACAUAGCCGACCUGAGAGGGUGAUCGGCCACAUUGGGACUGAGACACGGCCCAAACUCCUACGGGAGGCAGCAGUAGGGAAUCUUCCGCAAUGGACGAAAGUCUGACGGAGCAACGCCGCG
RNAcentral lists this ribosomal RNA (429 nucleotides) under Erysipelotrichaceae bacterium. RNAcentral describes it as "bacterial SSU rRNA". It matches the Rfam family "Bacterial small subunit ribosomal RNA", at positions 1 to 401 of the family's 1533-position model. Lineage: Bacteria; Bacillati; Bacillota; Erysipelotrichia; Erysipelotrichales; Erysipelotrichaceae. The record is from RNAcentral.